GAUGAAGAACGUAGCGAAAUGCGAUAAGUAAUGUGAAUUGCAGAAUUCAGUGAAUCAUCGAAUCUUUGAACGCACAUUGCGCCCCUUGGUAUUCCGAGGGGCAUGCCUGUUCGAGCGUCAUUAUAACCCCUCAAGCUCAGCUUGGUGUUGGGGCCUGCUGCACUGGCAGCCCUUAAAAUCAGUGGCGGCGCCAUCUGGCUCUAAGCGUAGUAAUUCUUCUCGCUAUGGAGUCCUGGUGGAUGCUUGCCAUCAACCCCCAAUUUUUCUAUGGUUGACCUCGGAUCAGGUAGGCAUACCCGCUGAACUUAAGCAUAUCAAUAAGCGGAGGA
This 329-nucleotide unclassified non-coding RNA is filed under the name soil metagenome. RNAcentral describes it as "partial contains 5.8S ribosomal RNA, internal transcribed spacer 2, and large subunit ribosomal RNA". The stretch from base 1 to 120 matches the Rfam family "5.8S ribosomal RNA", at positions 35 to 154 of the family's 154-position model. The record is from RNAcentral.